RNAcentral lists this ribosomal RNA (516 nucleotides) under uncultured archaeon. RNAcentral describes it as "bacterial SSU rRNA". It matches the Rfam family "Archaeal small subunit ribosomal RNA", at positions 325 to 841 of the family's 1478-position model. The record is from RNAcentral.
ACGGGGAGCAGCAGGCGCGAAACCUUCACACUGCACGACAGUGCGAUAGGGGGACUCCGAGUGCGAGGGCAUACAGUCCUCGCUUUUCUGUACCGUAGGGUGGUACAGGAACAAGGACUGGGCAAGACCGGUGCCAGCCGCCGCGGUAAUACCGGCAGUCCGAGUGAUGGCCGAUAUUAUUGGCCUAAAGCGUCCGUAGCCGGCCGGACAAGUCCGUUGGGAAAUCGACGCGCUCAACGCGUCGGCGUCCAGCGGAAACUGUCCGGCUUGGGGCCGGAAGACCUGAGGGGUACGUCUGGGGUAGGAGUGAAAUCCCGUAAUCCUGGACGGACCACCGGUGGCGAAAGCGCCUCAGGAAGACGGACCCGACGGUGAGGGACGAAAGCUAGGGUCUCGAACCGGAUUAGAUACCCGGGUAGUCCUAGCCGUAAACAAUGCUCACUAGGUGUGGCACAGGCUACGAGCCUGUGUUGUGCCCUAGGGAAGCCGAGAAGUGAGCCGCCUGGGAAGUACGUC